GGAGGCGGCGGGCAGCGCGCGGGCGCUUAGUUCCGGAAAGGAGAGGAGGCUCGCGGCUGUGGAUCCGGCGGCUCUAGCCCUGGCAGCGGAAAAGAAGCCGCGCAGGCGCUCAGCGCACCUCCAGGUCUCUAGGUCCCGAGCCGCCUUAAAGGCUUGCGGCCGCGGUUGCUUCACAACGAGCGUGGGCGGGGCCAAAGCUGAGCAGGGGAAGGGCCGGCCGGCCCGCCCCUCCCACGCCACCAGCGUAACGUCAGAAAGUUCCGCGGUGGUGUGAGGUGUCACGUCGUAGCGUGAGAUUCUUCCGCCACUGGGGGCCCGGUGGGCGGAGUCUCAAGUGCCCAAAAAAAAAUCCCUAGGACAGGAAAUGAUCUAGUACAGGUGACUAGACGUGGGAUUUUUUUAAAAGUAUUGAUGAGCUUUAAAAUGAAUAGCUUGAGCGCAUUUGCGUUCUAACCAACGUGCCCAAUCUUUUUUUUUUCUUGGUUUUUUCAAGACAGGGUUUCUCUGGUUUUGGAGGCUGUCCUGAAACUAGCUCUGGUAGACCGGGUGGAUCUCUGUGAGUUCGAUGCCAGCCUGGUCUCCACAGUGAGUGCCAGGAUAGGCUCAAAAGCUACACAGAGAAACCCUGUCUUGAAAAACUAAAAAAAAAAAAAAAUCAGAAUUAGGGCUGGAGAAAUGGCUUAGUGGUUGAAUGCUUAUUGCUCUUCCAGAGACCCUGAGUUCUGUUCUACACUGGGCAGUAGACAACUAAUUGCCUGUACUUCCUGCAACUCCAGCUUCAGGCUGUCCCACAUUAUCUUCUGGACUCUCUUGGCACUCGAACGCAUGUGUCACAUAUUUAUUCAGAAACAUACAUACACAUAAAAUUAUUUUUUUAGAUUAUGAAUUUAGGCAUAAGCCAUAAAUCACUGUUUGGUACCUCUAGAGUUAGGAGAAAGAAUAAGCCAGUUGACUAUGUAUGCUAACAUUUCAGUCUUGAGGGCUGUAGAGAUGGCUCAGUGGUUAAAACUAUGUUCUUUCAAGACAGGUUUCUCUGUGGCUUUGGAGGCUGUCCUGAAACUAGCUCUUGUAGGCCAGGCUGGUCUUGAACUCACAGAGAUCCUCUGCCUCUGCCUCCCGAGUGCUGGGAUUAAAGGCAUGUGCCACCACCAAUACCGGCUCUGGGUUCAAUUCUUAUUGCCUAUGUCAGGCAGCUCAUGACUGCUUGUAACUCAAGCUCCAGGGAAUUGAACACCUCUGGCUUCCAGUGGUAUUCACAAACAUGGCAUCCACUCACACAGGCACACAUAUACAUGAUUAAAAAUAAAACAAGAAAAAGAAACUUCAUUGAUAUAGGCAAGCAGUGUUUAGUCUGCUAGGACGGUCAUUGUGGCACAAUAUCCCUAGCACACAGUGCAGGCGAAUGCCGAGUUUGAGACCAGCUACAUAAUGAAUACUGCCUCAAAAAAUAAACAGGAUGCUCACUCUCCAUUUGCCACCUGCCUGUUCCCCUUGAGCACUUGAGUUUAUAACCUGCUGCUUUUAAAAUUGAGACGGCCUGGGAGCUGCCACCACAUGCCCCAUUCAGUUAAGAGACAAAGGCUGGACCACUCCACACCUGCUCUGCACCACUGCCCCUCCUUGGGCCAUACCCAGGCCUUUGGGAAGGAAAUAUCCCUGCAGGGCAUUGAGAAAGAGGUUUAGCUGAGUUUGCCACACUCUCUUUGCUUGUCUUCGGUGAGGCAUUUGGCCUCAUUGUUUUUGUUUGAUUGCUGGGACUAUGCAAUCUCCAGUUGGGUGAAUCAAAGGCAGUAAAUGGCUGGUGGUGCCUUUUUUGGUUGUUGCUAGUUUCACCCUGUAGCCCUGGCUGAUCUUUUAUGAAUAUUUUCUCGGCAUGUGUACUGCAUACAUGUGUGGUGCUUUCAGAAGAAAGUGUCAGAUCCCCUGAGACUGUGGUUACAAGCUGUUGGGAGCUACCAUGUGGGUGCUAGGAAAAAACCUGUUUCCUAUACAAGAGCAUCAAGCACUCUCAACAGCUGAGCAAUCUCUCUCUAGUCAGUUCCCCAGGUUUGUUUUUUUGUUUUUUUGUUUUUUUUUUUUUUUUUUUUUUUUUUUUGAGACGCUCAGAGAUCUGCCUGCCUGUGUCUCCCAAGUGAUGGGAUAUGUGCUUUUAUCCUGGCACUCAGGAGGCAGCUCUCUGAGAGUUCCAAGCCAACCAGGGAUACACAGUGAGACCCUGUCUAAAAACAAAGAAGCCAGGAGGUGGUGGCGCAUGCCUUUAACCCCAGGAGGCAGCAGAGGCAGGUAAAUCUCUGAAUUCGAGGCUAGCCUUGUCUAUAGAGUGAGUUCCAGGACAGCCUCCAAAGCUACAAAGAAACCCUGUCUCAGAAAAAAAGAAAGAAAAAGUAAACAGAAAUAAUUAGAAAUUUUCCCACUUGAAGGAGGUUUUGUAUGUCAAAUAACACAUGUCUGAAACCUACAGUGGGUGCCUUCUGGAUUGGGUGAGUCCCAAUUUCUGUUACUGUCCUUCAUCAGGCAGAGUGGAACUCUGCAACCUUAUACUGUUCCUAAACAUCUUUGUAUUCAAACUGGUACCAAGAGCUGCCUCAGCCCUCCCUAGAAAAAUGUAGUAGCAGCCUGAUUUGAUCUUUACCAUCAGCCUGGUAGAUAUAAGCUCCCUUCCUGAGUUCAUCCUCUACCUCCUUCCCAAAAGAAGGUUCUGGCUCUUUUGUUCCUCUCCCAGUAGACACCCAAGCUCAGUCUCCAUAGUUGCAGCCCAUGGGGCAAAGUGACAAAAGAAGCAGCACAUGCUUCUUAAUGUAACUUGUUAUUCUUUAUCUCCUUCCCUUUAUUUGUGGUAGGAGCUCACUGUGUGACCCAGGCCAGCCUUGAACUCUUGAUCCUCCUGCCUCAGCUUCCCAAGUGUAAUCAUGUGCGUGCCACAGUUCAGGGUUCUGGUGGUUGAUACCAUAACAAAUCCCUCCCCAGCUAUUGCCACUCAGUUCACUGAGAUUCUUCAGGCUCUGGGAGUCACAGCAGCUUUCUCUAGUUCAAGCACUGAUUCCCAUUAUAUGCUGGAACCUAGUAUGCUUCAGCCUCUGUGCUCACCUCAUCUCCACUCCAUAAACACAGCCUCAAAGAUUGAUCUCAAUUCAUCCACAAAUUCCUGAAAUACGAAUUGACCAGGGAACAGAAAGAGAUAAAGUGCAAGAUUUUAAAAAUCAUAAGUUCAGGGCAGUGGUGGCACACGCCUUGAAUCCCAGCACUCAGGAGGCGGAGGAAGAUAGUUCAAGGCCAGUGUGAUCUACAGAGUGAGUUCUGAGACAGGCAAGCCUGCACAGAGAAAUGCUGUCUCAAAAAACAAAACCAAAAAACUCAUUUAAAAAUUGCAAGGAGGACUGGGUGUUGGUGGUGCACACCUUUAAUCCCAGCACUCAGGGAAGCAGAGGUAGGCGGAUCUCUGUGAUGCUGGGAUUAAAGGCAUGCGCCACCAACGCCCGGCAGCUCUGGAACUUUUAAAAUGAUGUAUUUAUUUUUGUUAUCUUCAUUGGUGCCUUGCCUGCUUGUAUAUCUGUGUGAUCCCCUGAAACUGGAGUUAUAGACUGUUGUGAGCUGCCAUGUAGGGGCUGGGAACUGAAGCUGCUCUGGAAGAGCAGACAGUGCUCUUUAACCACUGAGCCUCUCUCCAGCCCUCAUUCCAGGAAUUUUUAAUCUAUAAAUCAUACAGUAUCUAGAUGUAGAAUCAAUACUUGGUAAUCUGGUUUUGCAGCCAGAAAUGGUGGUGCACACCUGUCAACUCAGACUUCGGAGGCUGAGGCAGGAAGAUUAAAAAUUUAAAGCUAGCCUGGGCUACACAGUGACAUCUUGUCUGUCUGCAAAUAGAUAAGGACUAGGGAGGUAGUUCAGUGGUAUAGCAUCGGCCACCAUAUUAAUACUCUUUUUUUUUUUACAACACUGCAGAUGAUUGAUAGAUCAUAAACAAAAUAGAUAAGUAAUUUUACACAUAAAAAUCUAAGUUUGUAUUGCAAUAAAAAAAAUUCGCUUCAGACACUUCUAACCUGUCUGUUGAGUAUUGAGUAUUGCCUGCAGCGUGCGCUCAAAGAUGAUCCGUAGUCCGUAAGGCUAAGAUUUCUUUAUUCAGAUAAACACCAGCCCAAAUACAAGCCAGAGCGUGCCCAGAGGCCGAAAGCUAGGGAGGCCAGAGAGAGGGGCGAUCCACGAUCCACUUGUGCUCGGUCCCUUAAGAAUUGUCCCCGCGUCAUCUUUGACCUCCCCUGACCACGCCUUCACAUGGGUAGCCAGUCACACCUGUAGGGGCUACUAGGAGGCGGGGCUACAAUGUCUCCCUACACCUGUCCAUAUUUUUUAAAAAAUAGUUUAUUAUGUCUAUGGCUGUUUAGCUUGCAUGUAUACCUAUGUAUUAUGUAUGUGACUGGUGUGCCAGAAGAGGGCAUCAGAUCCCCUGAAACUGGAAUUACAGAUGGCUGUGAGCAGUUAUGUGGGUAUGAGAGUCAAACACAGGUCCUCUAGAAAAGCAGCCAGUGAUCUUCACCACUGAGUCAUCUCUCCAGCCCUUCAUAUUUUGACUGGCCAAAAUAUCAGUAUUCCCUGGCAAGUCACUCCAGUGAAAAAUCGCCUCCCAGACUUAGUGUAAAACCUACCACAAAAACCCUGUAAAGCUACUAUCUCUUGAAGAACCCACACUUAAUCUACAAAAAAAUUUUUUUUGGCCAGGCAGUGGCACACUCCUUUAAUCCCAGCACUCAGGAGGCACAGGCAGGCAGAUCUCUGUGAGUUUAAGGCCAGCCUGAACUACAGAGUGAGUUCCAGGGCUACUCAGAGGAACCCUGUCUUGAAAAACAAAAUUAAAAAAAAAAAAAUGUUUUGAUGCAUGCCUUAAGUACAAACACUUGGAAGGCUGAGGCAGGUGAAUCUCUGAGUUUCAGGCCAGCCUGCUCUAAUUGGCAAGGACUAGGCCAGUCAAGGCUACAGUGUUCAACCUCCUCUCAAAAGAGGCAAAAAAAAAAAAAAAGUUUUUACUACGUUUUGCUUAUUGUGUAUGGAGGAUGGGCACACCAUGGCAUUUCAGUGGAGAGCAGAGGACAUUUUGCAGGAAUUAGUUCUUUUGUUCCGCUUUAUGGAUCCAGGGACUAGACUCAAACCAGUCUUGGUGGCAAGUACCUUUACCUGCUGUGCCAUCUCACUAGCUCCCAGGCUCCCUUAGGAGUGAACUCUGUCCCCAGACACCUUCCCCAGCACCACCCCCAACACCACCAGGUAAAGCUUAGCCUCCUCUAGCAACGGCCCCUCCCACACACACUCUCCUUUGGUUUUUAGUUUUGUUUUGUUUUUAAAUCUCUCCCAUUUUAAGUAAUGUAAAGGAGAGCGGAAUCCUGUACUCCCAUCUCCCACGGGCUUCAGCCUGGUGUCGGUGGGGACAGCAUUUUCAAGCCUAUAUGGGACUCGGACUUGUCUCCUGAGUUACCUCUUCCCUGCCCCUCCUUUCUGUCCUUCAGACCUGUGGGUAGGAAAACACAAAUCUGUGAUAGUCAAGGUUUCCGUCAGGAAAAAUGUGCCUGAUUUCUGUGUCUGCGGACCCCAAACCCCAGUUCUUGCAUACUGGUCCAGGAGGCAGUGUGACCUUGCCUUCUCAAAUUGCCCUGCUUCCUUCACUCCCAGGUCACUGUCCCACAUCCGGCAUUCUUUUCUCACUCUGGGACCCUCCUCGUCUUGAUCCUUCUCUUUGUUACAUAUACAAGAUGUAGAAACUGGGUGGCUCAGCGGAUAAAGACACUGAGUCUGAUCCCUGGGACCCACAAGCUGAAAGGAGAGAGCCAACUCCAACAAGUUGUUCUCUGAUCUCUGAGUGAGCACCAUGGCUUUUGUGCCAGCAAAGGCAUGUGCACACUCACAAAAUAAAAUGUAAUAAUUUAGAUGUACAAAAUUCAGCUGAAGAGAUGGCUCUGCUCUUCCAGAAGACCUGGUUCAGGUCCCAGUACCCACAUGGCGGUUCAUAACCAUUUAAGACUCCAGUCCCAGGGAAUCUGAUGCUCCUUAUGGCCUUUGAAGGCACAAUGUGUGCACAUGGUACAGGCAUGCAUGUAGGCAAAAACCUCUUUUUUUUUUUUUUUUUUUGAGACAGGGUCUCACUACAUAGCUCUGGCUGGCUGUCCUGGAACUCACUGUGUAGACAAGGCUAGCCUUGAACUCAAAGAUCUGCCUGCCUCUACCUCCCCAGUGCUAGGAUUAAAGGUGUGCGCCACUAUAUCUGGACUAAUUUCUUAAAAAAAAAAAUAUGUAGAAACCUGCAGCAGUGAGUUCUCAUUAGUGUCCAGGAUGGCAGGUGGGGGUGGUGAACAUCAUUACUCCCAGCACUCGGGAGGCAGAGGCAGGCGGAUCUCUGUGAGUUCAAGGCCAGCCUGGUCUACAGAGCAAGUGCCAGGAUAGGCUCCAAAGCUACACAGAGAAACCCUGUCUCAGAGAGAGAGAGAGAGAGAGAGAGAGAGAGAAUAGUGAGUGUGUCCAGGAUGGCAGUCCCGUGGUUCCUUGUCCCUCUGGGCACUUUGUGUCCACUGCCAAUCUCCUAUCUCCUGAGUGUGGGAGGGAAGAAGUGUUACAUUCACUAUGUUCCCCUUUAAAAGGCUCCUGCCUGCCUCCUCCUCGUCUUCUUCCUCCUCGUCUUCUUCCUCCUCGUCUUCCUCCUCCUCCUCCUCCCUCCCUCUCUCCCUCCCUCCCUCUGUCUCUCUCUCUCUCCCUCUCUCUGUUUUUCUGCCUGUCUCUCUUCUGCUGCUCCCGUCUCCAAAGGCUGGUCCCCCUUCCACUCCUCCCUUUCUCCUAAUAAACCCCCUCCACAUGAGCUCUCUCACAUGGCCUUCUUUCUCUCAUGCCACUUUUUAAAAUUACAACACUGAUAACUCAGCCAUCAGUUCUGAUUUGAAACUUCUCCACAGUGCGAGCAUUCCAUCUUUCUGUGCCCAGCUUACAGUCGUCUUUAUUUCAUUUCUCUCAUUUCUUUCCCACUUUCUAGCAGUUAAGCUUUUUCAAGUGUGUGUGUGCAUAAGUAAAAGGACACAGCAUGCAUGUAGAGAUAAAGGAGAGUGCUGGGUGUCGGCCUCCACCUUCCACCUUGCUCCAGAUAGGGUGUCUUGUUUGCUGCCAUGCACACAGCAUGCUGGCCUAUGAGCUUCCAGAGGAUUCUUCCGUCUCUGUCUCCCAUGUCCCUUGAAAAGCACUGGGGUUACAGACUCUCGAUACCAUGUGCAGCUUUCACACGGGCUCCAGGGGUUCAAAAUCUGGUCCUCCUGCCUGCACAGCAAGCACCUUUACCACUGAGCCAUCUUCUCAGUCCUUUAUCUUUUAACCUUUCUGUUUUUUAGAACGAGUUCUUGUUUUUGAGCAGUGAUAUAAUGUUGCAAGUUACUCAUUUGUUCAUUCACCAAUGUUAACUGCAGGAAGUAGAGGGAGCCCUGAAUAAAUGUGUGCUGUCAAAGAUAUGCCUACGUCAAUGACGCCAGAGCCUCAGUCCCAUAAGAAAAUGGCAGAGCCUUUCCCAGGGUUUCUCUGUGUAUCCCUAGCUGUCCUGGAACUCACACUGUAGACCAGGUUGGCCUCAGACUCAGAUCUGCCUGCGUUCCU
This 7614-nucleotide long non-coding RNA is filed under the name Cricetulus griseus (Chinese hamster). RNAcentral describes it as "lncRNA (ENSCGRG00015039522.1)". The record is from RNAcentral. Lineage: Eukaryota; Metazoa; Chordata; Mammalia; Rodentia; Cricetidae.